RNAcentral lists this long non-coding RNA (402 nucleotides) under Malus domestica (apple). RNAcentral describes it as "long non-coding RNA (MDOM_LNC011151)". The record is from RNAcentral. Lineage: Eukaryota; Viridiplantae; Streptophyta; Magnoliopsida; Rosales; Rosaceae.
UUGAAGAUUAAACGGAAAUGAGUAAGAAUGAUUAAAUGGUUUAAUCAUUUAUUUAUGGCAAUGAUUAAUUAAUAUGUUAAUUAAUCAAACGAAUAAGUUCGUUAAAUGACUUCGGGAUAGUUUUGGACCUUAAGGCCCAAUGGGCUUCGAACGUCAAGCCCAUUAACUUAAGUUGUAUGACAAUUUAAUGAAUAAAGAUUCAUUAAGGCCCAAAAGCCCAAAUCUCUCUAUAUGGCCGGCCAUGAAGAUGAAUUAGGGUUUUUUGGUUGUUUAGGUCACUUAAAGAAGUGACUAUAUAAAUGACUUUAUAGCCAAAUAUUCAUUAAGUGAAAAAGGGUUUAUUUUGGGGGAAAAUUGGUGAGAAUUGUCUCUCCAUUUUCUCUCUAAAGAGGCCAACACCUU